This is a ribosomal RNA of 555 nucleotides. It matches the Rfam family "Eukaryotic large subunit ribosomal RNA", at positions 77 to 655 of the family's 3401-position model.
GCCUUAGUACGGCGAGUGAGCGGCAAAAGCUCAAAUUUGAAAUCUGGCACUUUCAGUGUCCGAGUUGUAAUUUGAAGAAGGUAACUUUGGAGUUGGCCCUUGUCUAUGUUCCUUGGAACAGGACGUCACAGAGGGUGAGAAUCCCGUGCGAUGAGGUGUCCAAUUCUAUGUAAAGUGCUUUCGAAGAGUCGAGUUGUUUGGGAAUGCAGCUCUAAGUGGGUGGUAAAUUCCAUCUAAAGCUAAAUAUUGGCGAGAGACCGAUAGCGAACAAGUACAGUGAUGGAAAGAUGAAAAGAACUUUGAAAAGAGAGUGAAAAAGUACGUGAAAUUGUUGAAAGGGAAGGGCUUGAGAUCAGACUCGGUAUUUUGCAAGCCUAUCCUUCGUGGAGAGGUUUAUUAGCAGCUUACCGGGCCAGCAUCGGUUUGGAUGGUAGGAUAAUGGCAUUGGAAUGUGGCUCCUCGGAGUGUUAUAGCCUUUGUUGAUACUGCCUAUCUAGACCGAGGACUGCGUCUUUGACUAGGAUGCUGGCGUAAUGAUCUUAAGCCGCCCGUCUU